RNAcentral lists this ribosomal RNA (113 nucleotides) under Photobacterium aquimaris. Lineage: Bacteria; Pseudomonadati; Pseudomonadota; Gammaproteobacteria; Vibrionales; Vibrionaceae. The record is from RNAcentral.
GGCGACCAUAGCGUUAUGGACCCACCUGAUCCCUUGCCGAACUCAGUAGUGAAACGUAAUAGCGCCGAUGGUAGUGUGGGGUCUCCCCAUGUGAGAGUAGGACAUCGCCAGGC